Molecule: long non-coding RNA, 1125 nt
Filed under: Homo sapiens (human)
Lineage: Eukaryota; Metazoa; Chordata; Mammalia; Primates; Hominidae
Description: novel transcript
Source: RNAcentral
CAAAGUGCUGGGAUUCCAGGCGUGAGCCACCGCGCCGGGACCCAAGGCCCUUAAGUUUUAAGGCCUCAUUCUUCAGUCAGGUUUUCCCUGUUCCCGCGUGUUCGGCCAAUUUUUUGUUGUUGUUGUUUUGUUUUUGUUUUUGUUUUUGAGUCAAUUUUCCAGACAUCUUUAAUUAGCAAUAUGUUUAAGUAGUUACAAGCCUUUCCUUCUUUUCUUGUGACAGUUUGGGUUGAAUUUCUAUCGUUUGCAGCCUGUCACUGUAAGGCACAAACAUGAUCACGCAAGAUGCGAUAGUAGAUUUAAGCCAGUUGUUUUUAAGUUUGUGUUUAAGGAGAAACUAACAAUGAAAACGGCCUCGUUGACGGAGGAAAAGUUGGAAUGCAGCCUCUGGUGCUGUUUGAGCGAUCCCUCUCCCCGGGGCCUGGCCGCGCGCUGCUGUGUUCUGGAAGGGCUCAUUGUACAGUCAAGGCGGCAGGGCCUUCUUCUGUCACCCAUGCUGGAGUGCAGUAGCAUGAUCACAGCUCACGGUAGCCUCCACCUUCUGGGCUCAAUCCUCCUACCUCAGCCUUCCAAGUAGCUGGGACUACAGUCUUGAGGAUCCAUUUUCUGAGACGGUGAUGGGAAAGAUGUUGGUUGUCAAGUGGAAUCUCAGCAGUCAUUUUCAGACAAAGUUAGAGAAAACAAGUAUGGAAGAUGCCUGAUUCUCAAAGAGUCAUCCAGUCUUGGGAUUACCGCCUACGUCCAUGGAAGUGAAAGUCCUCUUUUUCUUUGUACCACUUACUGAGACAUGCUGAAUGCUGUUUCUAGAUUUGUAAAAGUGCAGUGUGCAUUAGCUGCCUCAGUGUGACACUUUCCUUUUGUGAGACUAAAGAAAUUGAGGUAGUACUAUAUGGUACCUCAGAAUUGUCAUCAAGAAGUUUUGAAAGCUAACUUGAGUGCAUUUCUUUGAUGCUCCUCCUAGCUGAAAUUAGAACAUGUAUAAACUAUUAUCGAUAUUUCAUUAGGGAAAUCUUGAAAUAUAUGAUAAAUUAAGUUUGUGAAAUUGUUCUGAAGCAAUGAAUGAACUCUCUAGAUUAACUCUACUAGGAUAAAAUAAAAUAUUCCUAUUUAUUUUCAUUCACAAAA